UACGGAGGGGGCCAGCGUUGUUCGGAAUCAUUGGGCGUAAAGGGCGCGUAGGCGGCUUUGUAAGUCCGUUGUGAAAUCCCUCGGCUCAACCGAGGAACUGCGACGGAUACUGCUUGGCUUGAGUCCCGGAGAGGGUAGCGGAAUUCCCAGUGUAGCGGUGAAAUGCGUAGAUAUCGCUUGGAACGCCAAAGGUGAAAACAGGUAGCUGGGGGUGUGCUGACACUGAGACACGAAAGCCAGGGGAGCAAACGGG
RNAcentral lists this ribosomal RNA (253 nucleotides) under uncultured bacterium. RNAcentral describes it as "partial 16S ribosomal RNA". It matches the Rfam family "Bacterial small subunit ribosomal RNA", at positions 524 to 776 of the family's 1533-position model. The record is from RNAcentral.